GUAGUGAGAUAUACCAUGAUCUCUAUCACAAUAUCAUCGAAACUCUUUUUGAUGGACUAAAACAAUUCCAACUCACUUCAACAAAGAUCGUUGAUCCGAAAAUGAUCUUAGUGAGUUCUCAUGAUCCAUCAGUGACAUCUAGCAAUAUGUAGUAGCAACCUAGCAGAAUAGAAAAGUGAACCCCUAUCGUGAGUUCUGACUUGAUGGAGGUCAUAAAGAACUCGUC
RNAcentral lists this long non-coding RNA (226 nucleotides) under Elaeis guineensis (African oil palm). RNAcentral's name for it is "long non-coding RNA (EGUI_LNC062598)". The record is from RNAcentral. Lineage: Eukaryota; Viridiplantae; Streptophyta; Magnoliopsida; Arecales; Arecaceae.